Transfer RNA from Camelus ferus (Wild Bactrian camel), 72 nucleotides. It matches the Rfam family "tRNA". Rfam says of the family: Transfer RNA (tRNA) molecules are approximately 80 nucleotides in length. Lineage: Eukaryota; Metazoa; Chordata; Mammalia; Artiodactyla; Camelidae. The record is from Rfam.
GAGGGUAAAGCUCGGUGGUAGAGCACAUGCUUAGCAUGCAUGAGGUCCUGAGUUCAAUCCCCAGUAUUGCCA